RNAcentral lists this unclassified non-coding RNA (726 nucleotides) under Stenomitos nagquensis CSML-F035. Its description in RNAcentral is "partial contains 16S ribosomal RNA, 16S-23S ribosomal RNA intergenic spacer, and 23S ribosomal RNA". The stretch from base 1 to 138 matches the Rfam family "Bacterial small subunit ribosomal RNA", at positions 1396 to 1533 of the family's 1533-position model. Lineage: Bacteria; Bacillati; Cyanobacteriota; Cyanophyceae; Leptolyngbyales; Leptolyngbyaceae. The record is from RNAcentral.
CCCCCCCCCCAGGAAUGGCCCCGCCGAAGUCGUUACUCCAACCGUUCGCGGAGGAGGAUGCCGAAGGCAGGGCUGAUGACUGGGGUGAAGUCGUAACAAGGUAGCCGUACCGGAAGGUGUGGCUGGAUCACCUCCUUUUAGGGAGACCUACCCGCAUUGUUGCUUGAACGCAAUUUGUUAUUAGAGCCAAUGUUGGUCAUCCCAAGGUCGUUCGAAGGAAUAGUGUUGGCUUUCAAACUAGCUUCGGUUUGGUUCAUGGGCUAUUAGCUCAGGUGGUUAGAGCGCACCCCUGAUAAGGGUGAGGUCCCUGGUUCGAGUCCAGGAUGGCCCACCUUUGAGAGCGGUCAGCCAUCAGUUUGGAGCUUUUUGAUAGAGUUUUGAGCUGAGCGUUGAUAGCUUUUCUGGGGGUUUAGCUCAGUUGGUAGAGCGCCUGCUUUGCAAGCAGGAUGUCAGCGGUUCGAGUCCGCUAACCUCCACUGAGUGAUGAUAAGUUUGAGCCAAUUGACGUGGAAGCGUUCAGCAACUCAUCUAGAGCUUCUAGAGAGCCUGCUGGAUUAGGUUCCAGCCAGAACCUUGAAAACUGCAUAGUACUUGUCAGGUAGAAAGAGCAACCAGUGCUCGACUGUUAAGUGCUGACCGUCAAACGUCAGGCUUAAGGGUGAGCGGCUGUGUUGUGAAGUCACAGACACCAAUGAAAUUGUCAGUGGUCAAGCUACAAAGGGCUGA